CAGUCGCCGCGGGAACACGUAGGUGGCAAGCGUUGUCCGGAAUUAUUGGGCGUAAAGGGCUCGCAGGCGGUUUCUUAAGUCUGAUGUGAAAGCCCCCGGCUCAACCGGGGAGGGUCAUUGGAAACUGGGAAACUUGAGUGCAGAAGAGGAGAGUGGAAUUCCACGUGUAGCGGUGAAAUGCGUAGAGAUGUGGAGGAACACCAGUGGCGAAGGCGACUCUCUGGUCUGUAACUGACGCUGAGGAGCGAAAGCGUGGGGAGCGAACAGGAUUAGAUACCCCCGUAGUCCCUGUCUCUUAUAA
RNAcentral lists this ribosomal RNA (301 nucleotides) under uncultured bacterium. RNAcentral describes it as "partial 16S ribosomal RNA". It matches the Rfam family "Bacterial small subunit ribosomal RNA", at positions 509 to 809 of the family's 1533-position model. The record is from RNAcentral.